GAUAUGCUGAUUAAGCAGCACUUCUGUUAAUGACUAAAGAAUGAAGUAAAUGUUUCUGAAAUCUGUUUAAAUAUCUGGAAGAAUUAAGCAAAAAGAAUGGAACAUAAUCUAAUUUCAGUUCGCUGAGUGACACAUUUCUUCUCCACUGUACCACUCUUCCAAAGAGCUUGGGUUUUUUGAGGGAGUCCUAUAUCUUUCACUCCCCAACAAGAAUGCAUGAUAGGCUCGUAGAGCUUUAUUAAAUAAUAGCCUAGUGAAAAAGGAGUACAUGUACGAAGGUAGAGACAUCCUUACAUCCUUUUAGAAAGAAAUGUAUAUUAGGAAGACCAACUGAUCGGGGAAUUAAGAGUAGUCCCAUUGUACUCUUUGCAAUCUUAGAACGAAAAUGAUACGUUGAGUGUGAGAACGUAGAAGCAUAUUAUGAUCAUGUUGUUUGGAGUUAUAUCAUCUUUUAUAUGAAAAACCUUACUGCAACCCAUAGGCUGACAAUGGCUUUUUCCUCUUUUCCCCCCUUCGUGACUUGAACAAAUUAACCUGCUACCUCUUGGUUAGAAGUGGACUGUCUUGUACAGUAGUAAAGACCAACAAUUUCCUGUCUGUUUAAACUUAUAUCACUUUAUAUGGUUUCUAGGAACUUAUUGACUAACAGAACACAUGUACUAAAUGGCAGUUUAACU
RNAcentral lists this unclassified non-coding RNA (677 nucleotides) under Hevea brasiliensis (rubber tree). The record is from RNAcentral. Lineage: Eukaryota; Viridiplantae; Streptophyta; Magnoliopsida; Malpighiales; Euphorbiaceae.